Molecule: long non-coding RNA, 270 nt
Organism: Lathyrus oleraceus (garden pea)
Lineage: Eukaryota; Viridiplantae; Streptophyta; Magnoliopsida; Fabales; Fabaceae
Exons: 3
Source: RefSeq, a predicted model, not a curated record
GAUUCAGUCAUUCCUGGUAGGUGUUUCGUACAUUUGUAUAGGAUUUAGGGACGAUGCAGGCCGUCUCGUUCGCACAGAAAUGCUUAGAACCAAAGAUAUCACGCAGAGAGUAAAAAUGAAGAACUAUUGGCAGGGAGGAGUCUGCCUGGCGUUUGCGGAUGAGGUAUUAUGCUGGCUUUAUGGAACAGUCAAAGAAAAUGAAGAUUACACGUUGCAGUUCGCUCCACCUUUCCACCGUUUGGAGCUUCUGCAAGCACAGUCUUGCCCAGA